Paramuricea clavata is the source of this 279-nucleotide non-coding RNA. NCBI's taxonomy places the organism in Eukaryota, Metazoa, Cnidaria, Anthozoa, Malacalcyonacea, Plexauridae. The record is from the annotation of a GenBank genome assembly.
CGUGGUACUUCUUGUUUGUUGAUUGAUGCAAUCAGAAAUUAAUUUGAAGACCUACUCUAAUAAGCAACCUGGAUAUAUUUUGCAGUGAAAUCACGAGUUGUUUAGCCAUGUUUUUGGAAGUAUGAUGUUUUUGCACUUUGUGUUUUUCUGUAUUCGGUUCUGUCGGCCGAAUGAAAAACGUUGUCACGAAAUCAACUCACUAAGCGAAAACAACACAGUAUAGAUGUACACGUUCUGAGUUAAGGCAGUUUUCAACUAGGCGAAAUUUUUCGACCGAAU